Molecule: ribosomal RNA, 253 nt
Filed under: uncultured bacterium
Lineage: Bacteria
Description: partial 16S ribosomal RNA
Rfam family: Bacterial small subunit ribosomal RNA
Source: RNAcentral
CACGUAGGAGACGAGCGUUAUCCGGAUUUACUGGGCGUAAAGGGCGCGUAGGCGGGCUGUCAAGUCUGGGGUGAAAUCCCGCGGCUCAACCGUGGAACUGCCUCAGAUACUGACGGCCUCGAGGGAGAUAGGGGCGAGCGGAACUAAUGGUGGAGCGGUGAAAUGCGUUGAUAUCAUUAGGAACUCCGGUGGCGAAGGCGGCUCGCUGGAUCUUUUCUGACGCUGAGGCGCGAAAGCUAGGGGAGCAAACGGG